Long non-coding RNA from Orcinus orca (killer whale), 1602 nucleotides. RefSeq lists it as uncharacterized. The record is from RefSeq and is a predicted model, not a curated record. Lineage: Eukaryota; Metazoa; Chordata; Mammalia; Artiodactyla; Delphinidae. The transcript has 2 exons.
UAUUUAUUUUACAUCUUUAUUGGGGUAUAAUUGCUUUACAAUGGUGUGUUAGUUUCUGCUUUAUAACAAAGUGAAUCAGUUAUACAUAUACAUAUGUUCCCAUAUCUCUUCCCUCUUGCGUCUCCCUCCCUCCCACCCUCCCUAUCCCACCCCUCCAGGCGGUCACAAAGCACGGAGCUGAUCUCCCUGUGCUAGGCAGCUGCUUCCCACUAGCUAUCUACCUUACGUUUGGUAGUGUAUAUAUGUCCAUGCCUUUCUCUCACUUUGUCACAGCUUACCCUUCCCUCUCCCCAUAUCCUCGGGUCCAUUCUCUAGUAGGUCUGUAUCUUUAUUCCUGUCUUACCAGGAUCUAAUGAAACUUCAAAGCUUUUGCACAGCAAAGGAAACCAUAAACAAGACCAAAAUACAACCCUCAGAAUGGGAGAAAAUAUUUGCAAAUGAAGCAACUGACAAAGGAUUAAUCUCCAAAAUUUAUAAGCAGUUCAUGCAGCUCAAUAACUAAAAAACAAACAACCCAAUCCAAAAAUGGGCAGAAGACCUAAAUAGACAUUUCUCCAAAGCAGAUAUACAGACUGCCAACAAACACAUGAAAGAAUGCUCAACAUCAUUAAUCAUUAGAGAAAUGCCAAUACGUUUAGAAAGGGCUUCAGAGGAUGACCCGGCGUAGGUCAACUGGUCCCACUGAUCUUGGCCCAUCUUUCUGCCAUGGCUCAGUCCUGCUCUGCACCCGAGGUGGAUCCCAGCUGGACCUCCUGGCCCAUCAGAAAGCACCUGGAGAGCCUCUGGAUUUCAGAGCACAUCAGACAGGGAUGGCCUAGGGCACUUGGAGAGGCUGGAAGCAAGAGGACUUUCCUCGCUGCAAACAACACCCAGGGUCUGCAUCCUGGCCCAGAUGACAGCCUCACUGACAGGGGCUGCAUGUGGCCAUGGCAAGAGGAAGACAGGAGACAGAAGGAUCCACGUUGGAAGCCGGUCGGCUCUUUCUUCACCCCCAGCAAGCCUGCUUUUCACUCCACUCAGCUGUGCCCUCAGGCCUGGGCCCAGCUGUUUCUCUGUUCAGUUUCCCGGGUGCCCAGGGCAUGACCCAAACCCUAGGGACCCCACAUGGGGAACCCACUCAUGCGAGGAGGUGGCAUAGUGUAGUGGUUAAUUCCGGAAGGACAGUGUGGGUUCAGAUCCCAGCUCUAUCCCUCAGUAGCUGUAUGACCCCAUGUCAGUGCCUGUCUAUGUGCCUCACUUUCUUCCUCUAUAAAAUGGGAAGGAUAAUGGUUCCCACCUUCUGGGGUUGUUCCAGUUAAUGUCAUUAAUGGAUUAAACGAGUUAAGACCGUAAGACACAGGGUCAGGUUUAUCAUAGGCACUCCCUUAUGUUGAUUAUAUCAUAAUUAAUUGUGAUUAAUUACAGGUGGGCCACCAUGGCCUUCUUCAUUGCUCAAUAAGAUGAUGUACUUGCCAGGUGUUGCAAGGGUCCCGGGCAGGUUCUCUGAAUUCUUAUUCCUUCUUUUCUCCUUGGUGAAGGCCCUUUCCUCUCACUGUUGGUUGUUAGAGAUUCAGCCUUAAUUAAUAAAUCUGUAGAAAUGCAGUUAGGAGGGGAGACACCCUG